RNAcentral lists this ribosomal RNA (396 nucleotides) under uncultured bacterium. RNAcentral describes it as "partial 16S ribosomal RNA". It matches the Rfam family "Bacterial small subunit ribosomal RNA", at positions 523 to 918 of the family's 1533-position model. The record is from RNAcentral.
AUACGUAGGGGGCGAGCGUUGUCCGGAAUGACUGGGCGUAAAGGGCGUGUAGGCGGCGGAUUAAGUCUGGAGUGAAAGUCCCGUUUUCAAGGGGGGAACUGCUUUGGAUACUGAUCAGCUUGAGUGCGGAAGAGGUAAGUGGAAUUCCCAGUGUAGCGGUGAAAUGCGUAGAGAUUGGGAGGAACACCAGUGGCGAAGGCGACUUACUGGGCCGUAACUGACGCUGAGGCGCGAAAGCGUGGGGAGCAAACAGGAUUAGAUACCCUGGUAGUCCACGCUGUAAACGAUGAAUACUAGGUGUGGGGGGACUGACCCCCUCCGUGCCGCAGUUAACACAAUAAGUAUUCCACCUGGGGAGUACGAUCGCAAGAUUGAAACUUAAAGGAAUUGACGGGG